RNAcentral lists this ribosomal RNA (470 nucleotides) under uncultured Pseudomonadota bacterium. Its description in RNAcentral is "bacterial SSU rRNA". It matches the Rfam family "Bacterial small subunit ribosomal RNA", at positions 8 to 522 of the family's 1533-position model. The record is from RNAcentral. Lineage: Bacteria; Pseudomonadati; Pseudomonadota.
AGAGUUUGAUCCUGGCUCAGAACGAACGCUGGCGGCAUGCCUAACACAUGCAAGUCGAACGCCUGUAGCAAUACAGGAGUGGCGCACGGGUGAGUAACGCGUGGGAACCUGCCUAGUGGUAAGGAAUAACCGCGGGAAACUGCGGCUAAUACCUUAUGAGCCCUACGGGGGAAAGAUUUAUCGCCAUUAGAGGGGCCCGCGUCCGAUUAGCUAGUUGGUGAGGUAACGGCUCACCAAGGCUCCGAUCGGUAGCUGGUCUGAGAGGAUGAUCAGCCACACUGGGACUGAGACACGGCCCAGACUCCUACGGGAGGCAGCAGUGGGGAGUAUUGGACAAUGGGGGCAACCCUGAUCCAGCAAUGCCGCGUGAGUGAUGAAGGCCUUAGGGUUGUAAAGCUCUUUCGACGGGGAAGAUGAUGACGGUACCCGUAGAAGAAGCCCCGGCUAACUUCGUGCCAGCAGCCGCGGUA